Molecule: ribosomal RNA, 300 nt
Filed under: Bacillus velezensis
Lineage: Bacteria; Bacillati; Bacillota; Bacilli; Caryophanales; Bacillaceae
Description: partial 16S ribosomal RNA
Rfam family: Bacterial small subunit ribosomal RNA
Source: RNAcentral
UUAUCGGAGAGUUUGAUCCUGGCUCAGGACGAACGCUGGCGGCGUGCCUAAUACAUGCAAGUCGAGCGGACAGAUGGGAGCUUGCUCCCUGAUGUUAGCGGCGGACGGGUGAGUAACACGUGGGUAACCUGCCUGUAAGACUGGGAUAACUCCGGGAAACCGGGGCUAAUACCGGAUGGUUGUUUGAACCGCAUGGUUCAGACAUAAAAGGUGGCUUCGGCUAUCACUUACAGAUGGACCCGCGGCGCAUUAGCUAGUUGGUGAGGUAACGGCGCACCACGGCAACGACGCGAACACGAC